ACGAACGCUGGCGGCGUGCCUAAUCCAUGCAAGUCGAACGCUUCUUUCCUCCCGAGUGCUUGCACUCAAUUGGAAAGAGGAGUGGCGGACGGGUGAGUAACACGUGGGUAACCUACCCAUCAGAGGGGGAUAACACUUGGAAACAGGUGCUAAUACCGCAUAACAGUUUAUGCCGCAUGGCAUAAGAGUGAAAGGCGCUUUCGGGUGUCGUUGAUGGAUGGACCCGCGGUGCAUUAGCUAGUUGGUGAGGUAACGGCUCACCAAGGCCACGAUGCAUAGCCGGCCUGAGAGGGUGAUCGGCCACACUGGGACUGAGACACGGCCCAGACUCCUACGGGAGGCAGCAGUAGGGAAUCUUCGGCAAUGGACGAAAGUCUGACCGAGCAACGCCGCGUGAGUGAAGAAGGUUUUCGGAUCGUAAAACUCUGUUGUUAGAGAAGAACAAGGACGUUAGUAACUGAACGUCCCCUGACGGUAUCUAACCAGAAAGCCACGGCUAACUACGUG
This 507-nucleotide ribosomal RNA is filed under the name uncultured bacterium. RNAcentral describes it as "partial 16S ribosomal RNA". It matches the Rfam family "Bacterial small subunit ribosomal RNA", at positions 29 to 507 of the family's 1533-position model. The record is from RNAcentral.